Molecule: non-coding RNA, 265 nt
Organism: Phascolarctos cinereus (koala)
Lineage: Eukaryota; Metazoa; Chordata; Mammalia; Diprotodontia; Phascolarctidae
Source: RefSeq, a predicted model, not a curated record
GCUCAAAGCAGCAGAGGAUAUUGUCACCUAUAUGGAGAUGAAAGAGGAAGAAGUAUAUUUAUGCUUCUUUCUCUUGAAGCGUUUGAGCCGAGUCUCAAAGGAAGACAGGCAUUCCAAGAAGCAGAGGUCACAGCCUGAGCAAAGGCAGAGAGAUAGGAAAUGCAGGAUCCAUCAUGUGUGACAAACAGCAAUGAACAUUGGAGAGUUGGUGGGAGAGACAGGAGGACCAGGUAGCAAAAAGGAAAAAGGAAAAAAAAGAAAAGAG